RNAcentral lists this ribosomal RNA (231 nucleotides) under uncultured bacterium. RNAcentral describes it as "partial 16S ribosomal RNA". It matches the Rfam family "Bacterial small subunit ribosomal RNA", at positions 103 to 334 of the family's 1533-position model. The record is from RNAcentral.
CGGGUGCGUAACACGUGAGCAACCUGCCCCGAAGACCGGGACAACCCGAGGAAACUCGGACUAAUACCGGAUGUCCUCACCGGAUCGCAUGGUCUGGUGAGGAAAUGGAUUCCGCUUCGGGAUGGGCUCGCGGUCUAUCAGCUUGUUGGUGGGGUAACGGCCUACCAAGGCGACGACGGAUAGCUGGUCUGAGAGGACGAUCAGCCACACUGGGACUGAGACACGGCCCAG